GAUGAACGCUGGCGGCGUGCCUAAUACAUGCAAGUCGAGCGAACAGACGAGGAGCUUGCUCCUCUGACGUUAGCGGCGGGCGGGUGAGUAACACGUGGAUAACCUACCUAUAAGACUGGGAUAACUUCGGGAAACCGGAGCUAAUACCGGAUAAUAUAUUGAACCGCAUGGUUCAAUAGUGAAAGACGGUUUUGCUGUCACUUAUAGAUGGAUCCGCGCCGCAUUAGCUAGUUGGUAAGGUAACGGCUUACCAAGGCAACGAUGCGUAGCCGACCUGAGAGGGGGAUCGGCCACACUGGAACUGAGACACGGUCCAGACUCCUACGGGAGGCAGCAGUAGGGAAUCUUCCGCAAUGGGCGAAAGCCUGACGGAGCAACGCCGCGUGAGUGAUGAAGGUCUUCGGAUCGUAAAACUCUGUUAUUAGGGAAGAACAAAUGUGUAAGUAACUAUGCACGUCUUGACGGUACCUAAUCAGAAAGCCACGGCUAACUACGU
Molecule: ribosomal RNA, 496 nt
Filed under: uncultured bacterium
Lineage: Bacteria
Description: partial 16S ribosomal RNA
Rfam family: Bacterial small subunit ribosomal RNA
Source: RNAcentral